Molecule: unclassified non-coding RNA, 228 nt
Filed under: Hevea brasiliensis (rubber tree)
Lineage: Eukaryota; Viridiplantae; Streptophyta; Magnoliopsida; Malpighiales; Euphorbiaceae
Source: RNAcentral
GUCUGAAAUUAUUAUUCAUGAGGCUUUUAUAUCACGUCUGAACUCCUGAAAAGGGCAUCACAAAAAAAAUGGGGAAACAGAAGAUGUCUCUUCACAAUUCAAAAGGCUCAGAAGAAGGCACUUCUCAAAAUUUUUGUUAAAGCAACUAAAAAGUGCUUCCAAGGUGCAUUUGGGAUGUUUUGAUAUGAAUAUUUAAAAACAUCUCAAAAGCAGUCUAUAUUUUUUUUU